RNAcentral lists this unclassified non-coding RNA (25 nucleotides) under Mus musculus (house mouse). RNAcentral's name for it is "oocyte_clustered_small_RNA8713". The record is from RNAcentral. Lineage: Eukaryota; Metazoa; Chordata; Mammalia; Rodentia; Muridae.
UGCAGCUGCUUGAGUUUCCUCUGGG